This is a long non-coding RNA of Dendronephthya gigantea, 533 nucleotides long. RefSeq lists it as uncharacterized. Lineage: Eukaryota; Metazoa; Cnidaria; Anthozoa; Malacalcyonacea; Nephtheidae. The transcript is spliced from 3 exons. The record is from RefSeq and is a predicted model, not a curated record.
UGCCGAAUUUUUGCUGCGUUUUUGGCUGUCAUAAUGACUUUUCCAGGAAAGAUAUUACUUCUCACCGCUUUCCUGACGCCGAGAAAAAUCCUGAGAUGUAUGCUGAAUGGAUAGAAAACAUAAACAAGAAUGCCGAAGUUAAGUUUAUCCCGACAAAGGGGAGUCGUAUUUGCUCUGAACAUUUCAGUGUUGAUAUGAUGCAACAGAUUGGAAAAAGAAAGAUGCUGCUUCCAGAUGCUGUACCUACCCUAUUUCAAAACUCUCAGGUAAUGCCAAAUGAGGAAGUUGUAGAGGUUGCAUCAAAAGAUAUGCCAGACAGCAAUAACUUGGAAUCUGAAUGUAGUCCUGGCAGAGAUUGUGUGAGUGUGGAUGAAUCUGUAUCUGAACAUGCUGUAAGUACAGACAAUUUGGGUGUAGAGAGUGUCACAGGAGAUACAAAUACUGGGUGUACUGGUAAUGUAAGUAUACAGGGUGUCAAUGAAGAGGUAAUUAAAUUAGUAGUCAAGGAAUAAAACGAAAGCUCUCAGAUGAUG